AUUGAACGCUGGCGGCAGGCCUAACACAUGCAAGUCGAGCGGAUGAAGGGAGCUUGCUCCUGGAUUCAGCGGCGGACGGGUGAGUAAUGCCUAGGAAUCUGCCUGGUAGUGGGGGAUAACGUCCGGAAACGGGCGCUAAUACCGCAUACGUCCUGAGGGAGAAAGUGGGGGAUCUUCGGACCUCACGCUAUCAGAUGAGCCUAGGUCGGAUUAGCUAGUUGGUGGGGUAAAGGCCUACCAAGGCGACGAUCCGUAACUGGUCUGAGAGGAUGAUCAGUCACACUGGAACUGAGACACGGUCCAGACCCCUACGGGAGGCAGCAGUGGGGAAUUUUGGACAAUGGGCGAAAGCCUGAUCCAGCCAUGCCGCGUGUGUGAAGAAGGUCUUGGGUUUGUAAAGCACUUUAAGUUGGGAGGAAGGGCAGUAAGUUAAAACCUUGCUUUUUUGACGUUACCAACAGAAUAAGCACCGGCUAACUUCGU
This 483-nucleotide ribosomal RNA is filed under the name uncultured bacterium. RNAcentral describes it as "partial 16S ribosomal RNA". It matches the Rfam family "Bacterial small subunit ribosomal RNA", at positions 30 to 506 of the family's 1533-position model. The record is from RNAcentral.